CUCAUUUCUCAACCCGACUGUGAUGACUGCCGCUUGCUGGAAAGAUGCUCUGAAGACACAAUGAACUGACGAUGCGUCACCCCGACUCCUGCCUGAGCCACUCCAUUCCUUAAAGACGCAACCGAAUGCCAAAAAUACGGAGGAGGCAGUGCGGCAUGGAGGCGGAUCUGCCUUACGAAAUGGGCAGGGGCCCCACGCGUGGGAGACGGCCACAGGCAUUUGGAAGAGUGUGGCACUUUUUCAGGAAAUGCAACAUCCUUCUACUCUGUGACCCAGCGGCUCCCCCUGGUGUUUACCAGAGAGAAAUGGACGCAGACAUCUGCCCAGAUGCAGGCACAGGAAGGUUUGUAGCCGCUGUGUUUCAAUAUUGUAAUUGCGCCAAUCUGGAGAUGACAGAGUCCAGGCUCAGGAGCGUGACUGGCAGCUGUGGCACAUCUGUGCCAUGGAGUGCUGCUCAGCACCAGGGGCAGGGGCUGUGGACGGAGCUGUGGACACAAUGUCAGGACCACGGUGGGCGAGGAGACGGGAAGCCGGGGGCCCUGUCCUGUGGGGUUCUGGAGCAGGCAAAGCAUGCCUGGGACAGAGAUGGCCAGGCCAAUAUUACCCCUGGGCGAGGGCCAACAGCAAGGCCAGGACUGAGCUUUCUGGGGUGGUGUUGAUGCAGGUGGACACAGCUGUCUACACGGAGUCCACCUCCCCCACUGCCAACAUCUGUCCCGGAGGGCUCGGCUCACUGGCAGUUUGUCCGCAAGGUGGUGCUCAGUCACCAUGCACAGGAUAUUUUGACCGAAAGUUCUGUUUUUGCCAUAAAUUGCACCCUGACCACACCUGCUCCUUCUGAAAGCA
RNAcentral lists this long non-coding RNA (846 nucleotides) under Pan troglodytes (chimpanzee). Its description in RNAcentral is "long non-coding RNA NONPTRT013919". The record is from RNAcentral. Lineage: Eukaryota; Metazoa; Chordata; Mammalia; Primates; Hominidae.